RNAcentral lists this ribosomal RNA (480 nucleotides) under uncultured bacterium. Its description in RNAcentral is "partial 16S ribosomal RNA". It matches the Rfam family "Bacterial small subunit ribosomal RNA", at positions 28 to 523 of the family's 1533-position model. The record is from RNAcentral.
GACGAACGCUGGCGGCGUGCUUAACACAUGCAAGUCGAACGAUGAAGUUCCUUCGGGAAUGGAUUAGUGGCGAACGGGUGAGGAACACGUGAGAAACCUGCCUUUCAUUUUGGGAUAACUCCGGGAAACCGGGGCUAAAACCGACUACUCCGUCUCGGCGGCAUCGCUGAGCCGGGAAAAAAUUUUGAUGAAAGAUGGUCGCGCGGCCUAUCAGCUAGUUGGUGAGGUAAUGGCUCACCAAGUCAACGACGGGUAGCCGGCCUGAGAGGGCGGCCGGCCACACUGGGACUGAGACACGGGCCAGACUCCUACAGGAGGCAGCAGUGGAGAAUAGUGGGCAAUGGGCUCAAGCCUGGCCCAGCGACGCCGCGUGAGGGAUGAAGGCCUUCGGGUUGUAAACCUCUUUCAGUAGGGAAGAAGCGAAAGUGACGGUACCUAAAGAAGAAGCACCGGCUAACUAUGUGCCAGCCGCCGCAGUAA